ACCCCUUCAAGAGCUAAGCCACCCUCGGUCGGUGAGUGCCGGAGAUAAGCGCCGGAUGGGGUUGAGGCC
RNAcentral lists this small RNA (69 nucleotides) under Shimwellia blattae DSM 4481 = NBRC 105725. RNAcentral describes it as "Escherichia blattae DSM 4481 rydB RNA". It matches the Rfam family "rydB RNA". Rfam says of the family: This family consists of several bacterial sequences from E. coli, Shigella flexneri and Salmonella species. This RNA gene was discovered by an RNA screen between the ydiC and ydiH in E. coli. This gene is only 67 bases in length and is composed of a hairpin like structure. The record is from Rfam by way of RNAcentral. Lineage: Bacteria; Pseudomonadati; Pseudomonadota; Gammaproteobacteria; Enterobacterales; Enterobacteriaceae.